GAUGAACGCUGGCGGCGUGCUUAACACAUGCAAGUCGAACGAUGAAGCCGGAGCUUGCUCUGGUGGAUUAGUGGCGAACGGGUGAGUAACACGUGAGUAACCUGCCCUUGACUCUGGGAUAACUGCUAGAAAUGGUAGCUAAUACCGGAUACGACCCUCGGAGGCAUCUCCAGGGGGUGGAAAGAAUUUCGGUCAAGGAUGGACUCGCGGCCUAUCAGCUAGUUGGUGAGGUAAUGGCUCACCAAGGCGACGACGGGUAGCCGGCCUGAGAGGGUGACCGGCAACACUGGGACUGAGACACGGCCCAGACUCCUACGGGAGGCAGCAGUGGGGAAUAUUGCACAAUGGGCGAAAGCCUGAUGCAGCAACGCCGCGUGAGGGAUGAAGGCCUUCGGGUUGUAAACCUCUUUUAGCAGGGAAGAAGCGAAAGUGACGGUACCUGCAGAAAAAGCACCGGCUAACUACGUGCCAGCAGCCGCCGUAA
Molecule: ribosomal RNA, 484 nt
Filed under: uncultured bacterium
Lineage: Bacteria
Description: partial 16S ribosomal RNA
Rfam family: Bacterial small subunit ribosomal RNA
Source: RNAcentral